RNAcentral lists this ribosomal RNA (468 nucleotides) under uncultured bacterium. RNAcentral describes it as "partial 16S ribosomal RNA". It matches the Rfam family "Bacterial small subunit ribosomal RNA", at positions 28 to 507 of the family's 1533-position model. The record is from RNAcentral.
GACGAACGCUGGCGGCGUGCUUAACACAUGCAAGUCGAACGGAAAGGCCCUGCUUUUGUGGGGUGCUCGAGUGGCGAACGGGUGAGUAACACGUGAGUAACCUGCCCUUGACUUUGGGAUAACUUCAGGAAAAUGGGGCUAAUACCGGAUAGGAGCUCCUGCUGCAUGGGGGGGGUUGGAAAGUUUCGGCGGUUGGGGAUGGACUCGCGGCGUAUCAGCUGGUUGGUGGGGUUGUGGCUUACCAAGGCUUUGACGGGUAGCCGGCCUUAGAGGGUGACCGGCCACAUUGGGACUGAGAUACGGCCCCGACUCCUACGGGAGGCAGCAGUGGGGAAUAUUGCACAAUGGGCGGAAGCCUGAUGCAGCAACUCCGCGUGCGGGAUGACGGCCUUCGGGUUGUAAACCGCUUUCGCAUGUGACGAAGCGUGAGUGACGGUAAUGGGUAAAGAAGCACCGGCUAACUACGUG